Molecule: non-coding RNA, 1776 nt
Organism: Salvia hispanica
Lineage: Eukaryota; Viridiplantae; Streptophyta; Magnoliopsida; Lamiales; Lamiaceae
Source: RefSeq, a predicted model, not a curated record
AUUCACCAUAUAAAUAUACUCGAAUUUCACAGUGAAGAAGGCAGCGCUACCUCCUUUGUUUGAUAAGAGAGAAUCUUUUAGAGCCCUAGUUUUUCAAUUGAUUUGAAUUUGCUUUGCCCCCUUUCCUUCCUCACUACCAAUCAACAAUGGCGGACGCUUUCUGGAGGUAUGGUGACAACAGGCAGCCGGCAGCGUCGGUUCCAGCUCAGCUUGUGGCGAAACGGACUCGUUCCGAGUUUGAGAUGCCAAGUGAACAAGUCACGACAAGCUACUAUGUUCCUAGCAAUGAAAGGGCGGGAAGUGCUGUCGCCGCUACAGACAUGGACUAUGUCAAUGCAUCGUACGAACGCUACUUGCGUGAUUUGAAAGUCAGAGUGCAAUUAUAUGGUGGCCAAACUGGAAGACCUGCUACUGCUGGGCUUGAUGGUCUUCAUGAUAUAGAUGAUCAAAGGGUCCUAGGACUGAGGCAAUCAGGCCGAGAAGCUGCUGCACGAAGCUGGUUAAUGGGAGUAGGUGGGAGACCUGAAAUUUCACUCCCUCCUGACACUAGCAGCAUGUUGUUUAUGGACGGCUUGCCUGCGAACUUUACUCGCACAGAAGUGGAAAGCCAGUUAAUGGGAGUGCGAGGGAGACCUGAAAUUGCACUACCUCCUGACGCUAGCAGCACGUUGUAUGUGGAGGGAUUGCCUGCGAACUGUACUCGCCGAGAAGUUUCUCAUAUAUUCCGUCCAUUUGUGGGCUAUAAGGGAGUGAGGCUUGUGACAAAGGCACCGAGACAUCCUGGGGGGGAUCCUGUGGUUCUUUCCUUUAUUGAUUUUGUGAGUCCAGCUCAUGCGGCAACAGCAAUGGAUGCCAUACAAGGUUAUUUGUUUGAUGAGCACGAGCGGGAUUCUGCUCACUUAAGGGUUCAGUUUGCUCGCAAUCCUCCUAGUACAAGGGUAGGUGGUGGGCAUCGUGGCAAUCAUUGAGAUUGAUUUGACAGGACCCACUGAUUGUGCAGGUUUACAGUUUGUGAGUAUCACAGCUUCGGAGUGUUGCGACAUACUUGCGGAGGCUUUGUUUAGGAUCACUGGGUUUAUAUCAAGUGUGUCUAUUGGAGGGAAGACUGUGUUGUGCAUGAAGCGUGCCAUUUGGUUGGAGACUAUGAUGCUUGGCUGUGGCAGAAUGAUGCGCUCUCCAACGGCAUUUCCACCGGAGAAGCUGGUAAACAAAAUGGUGUCUCCACUCUUCUCCGCUCGCAGAAAAGAUACAUUACAAAAGGUUGAAGCUCUAGGUGGAUGCAGUCAAAUGCAGGUAAAGAAAACAGCUAUUUCUGAGCAGAUAAAUGAGGGGACAAAGUAAGGUGAAAAAGGUUCCUUUUGACUUUUGAGGAUCAACACUUGUGCUCUGAUACACUUUUCUUUGCUGAAGCGCAUUCGAUUUAUUGAUAUAUACUCCACGAGACUAGUAACUGAAUGAUGCAAUGUUGUCACUAGCACCAUUUCUAAAGCCACAUUGCUGUUUAAGCUAAAAAGAAGUGGCACGUGUACAUAACCAGUGUGUAUACGCUUGCUAUCUCUUUGUAAGUAGUUUAGAAGGCUUCCGGCUGGCCGCCUCUGUUUUCCGGGAGAUGCAGCAAUAUGUGAAGGUUCUAGUUAGGUAGGUGUAAAUUUGUAGCUGACAUUUUGUAUUGUUGGUGGCUGUAAAUAGGUGUCUCGGUUGCUUAUUUUGCAAUUGAUGUGUAUACACAUGUAUGUUUACAUUUUGUAUUUAUUAGUGGAUGUAAAUUAGCAAUUA